GGGAUGUAGCUCAGUGGUACAGCAAUUUCCUGAGGCCCUGGGUUCCAUUCCCAGCAUCACCA
RNAcentral lists this transfer RNA (62 nucleotides) under Ictidomys tridecemlineatus (thirteen-lined ground squirrel). Its description in RNAcentral is "Spermophilus tridecemlineatus (thirteen-lined ground squirrel) tRNA". It matches the Rfam family "tRNA". From Rfam's summary of the family: Transfer RNA (tRNA) molecules are approximately 80 nucleotides in length. Lineage: Eukaryota; Metazoa; Chordata; Mammalia; Rodentia; Sciuridae. The record is from Rfam by way of RNAcentral.